AUUGAACGCUGGCGGCAGGCCUAACACAUGCAAGUCGGACGGUAGCACAGAGGAGCUUGCUCCUCGGGUGACGAGUGGCGGACGGGUGAGUAAUGUCUGGGGAUCUGCCCGAUAGAGGGGGAUAACCACUGGAAACGGUGGCUAAUACCGCAUAACGUCGCAAGACCAAAGAGGGGGACCUUCGGGCCUCUCACUAUCGGAUGAACCCAGAUGGGAUUAGCUAGUAGGCGGGGUAAUGGCCCACCUAGGCGACGAUCCCUAGCUGGUCUGAGAGGAUGACCAGCCACGCUGGAACUGAGACACGGUCCAGACUCCUACGGGAGGCAGCAGUGGGGAAUAUUGCACAAUGGGCGCAAGCCUGAUGCAGCCAUGCCGCGUGUAUGAAGAAGGCCUUCGGGUUGUAAAGUACUUUCAGCGGGGAGGAAGGCGAUGUGGUUAAUAACCUUGUCGAUUGACGUUACCCGCAGAAGAAGCACCGGCUAACUCCGUGCCAGCAGCCGCCGCGG
Molecule: ribosomal RNA, 506 nt
Filed under: uncultured bacterium
Lineage: Bacteria
Description: partial 16S ribosomal RNA
Rfam family: Bacterial small subunit ribosomal RNA
Source: RNAcentral